This 468-nucleotide ribosomal RNA is filed under the name uncultured bacterium. Its description in RNAcentral is "partial 16S ribosomal RNA". It matches the Rfam family "Bacterial small subunit ribosomal RNA", at positions 28 to 507 of the family's 1533-position model. The record is from RNAcentral.
GACGAAUGCUGGCGGCGUGCUUAACACAUGCAAGUCGAACGGAAAGGCCCUGCUUUUGUGGGGUGCUCGAGUGGCGAACGGGUGAGUAACACGUGAGUAACCUGCCCUUGACUUUGGGAUAACUUCAGGAAACUGGGGCUAAUACCGGAUAGGAGCUCCUGCUGCAUGGUGGGGGUUGGAAAGUUUCGGCGGUUGGGGAUGGACUCGCGGCUUAUCAGCUUGUUGGUGGGGUAGUGGCUUACCAAGGCUUUGACGGGUAGCCGGCCUGAGAGGGUGACCGGCCACAUUGGGACUGAGAUACGGCCCAGACUCCUACGGGAGGCAGCAGUGGGGAAUAUUGCACAAUGGGCGGAAGCCUGAUGCAGCAACGCCGCGUGCGGGAUGACGGCCUUCGGGUUGUAAACCGCUUUCGCCUGUGACGAAGCGUGGGUGACGGUAAUGGGUAAAGAAGCACCGGCUAACUACGUG